Molecule: transfer RNA, 76 nt
Filed under: Chloroflexota bacterium
Lineage: Bacteria; Bacillati; Chloroflexota
Description: Chloroflexi bacterium (wastewater metagenome) tRNA-Thr
Rfam family: tRNA
About the family: Transfer RNA (tRNA) molecules are approximately 80 nucleotides in length. Their secondary structure includes four short double-helical elements and three loops (D, anti-codon, and T loops).
Source: RNAcentral
GCCGACGUAGCUCAGCUGGCAGAGCAGCUGUUUCGUAAACAGCAGGUCCGGGGUUCGAAUCCCCGCGUCGGCUCCC